GGUAAAGUGCCCGUCCCGUCCCGUCCCGUCCCGCCGCGGGGCCCGGGGAGCGCUGCGGCUGCCGCCGCGCCGCGCCGGGCCGAGCCUCCGCGGGGUCUCGGGAGAAAUUAAACCGCCUCCAGGAGCGUCGCUUCAUGACCCGGCGCCCCGCGCGUAGCGGAGCGGGGAGGCGCUCGCCUGGUCCGCGGCGGCGGCGGCUGUGCCCGCGGCCUGGCUGGGGGCUCCCCGCUCGCUCCCCGCUCGCGUUUCCUCUUCUUUUCUCCCUGGGUUGUGUUUAUAUGCAAACGCGGCCCGCAAAAUGAGCCGUGGUAAAUGAGACUGAGAAGUAACGUAAGCUGCUUUUUAUUUACUUGAACGGCGCCUUGUUGGGGUUUUUGGGUUUUUUUUCUUUCAAAAUGCAGCUAAAGAAGUUAAUAUGACGGCUGUGCUUAAAAAUAUCAACCGCUGCUUUCCUUGUGAUCCUGGCGGAACAGAAAAUCAUCCGAGCUGCAGCGCCGCCGCGAUAGGACACAAACCCUCAUUCCAUCCUUCUGUGUUGCACUUAUUGCACUUGCAUGCUUACUUCUCCCCCUGUGUUCUCCCCAAAUGGUUCACAUUUUUCUGGAAGUGCAGCACCCGAGACUGGACACGGUGCUGCAGGUUGCUUUCUCUUUUGCACUUUGGUCACUUCACUUCCAUCUAUAUGGAAAUUUAAGACUGAAACAGAAGAUCUGAAUGUAAAACUGCUAAUAUUUCAGAGGGGCACAGCUACUUGUCCUUCUCCUACUUUCUCUGUUUGGUCUAUAUUUUGUAAAACUUACUAUUGUUUUACCAGAAUUUGAUUACAUGAAUCCCAAGCAGUGAUGGAGAAGAAAUAAAAAUAAAUAAAUGGAGAUAACUUUUAUUCUU
This 888-nucleotide long non-coding RNA is filed under the name Apteryx rowi (Okarito brown kiwi). Its description in RNAcentral is "lncRNA (ENSARWG00000011448.1)". The record is from RNAcentral. Lineage: Eukaryota; Metazoa; Chordata; Aves; Apterygiformes; Apterygidae.